RNAcentral lists this ribosomal RNA (1923 nucleotides) under human gut metagenome. RNAcentral describes it as "bacterial LSU rRNA". It matches the Rfam family "Bacterial large subunit ribosomal RNA", at positions 401 to 2415 of the family's 2925-position model. The record is from RNAcentral.
CUGUAUCCAGAGUACCGCCGGACACGUGAAACCCGGUGGGAAUAUGGGGGGACCAUCCUCCAAGCCUAAAUACUACUCGGUGACCGAUAGAGAAGAAGUACUGUGAAGGAAAGGUGAAAAGCACCCCGGAAGGGGAGUGAAAGAGAACCUGAAACCUUGUGUUUACAAGCACCGAAAGUUCAUCAACGAACGAUCGGGUACCUUUUGUAGAAUGGUCCGGCGAGUGAAUGUAACUGGCAAGGUUAAGCACUUAAGGUGUGAAGCCGUAGCGAGAGCGAGUCUGAAAAGGGCGCAUGAAGUCAGUUGUAUUCGACCCGAAACCGGGUGACCUACCCAUGUCCAGGCUGAAGUGCAGGUAAAACUUCAUGGAGGGCCGAACCGACUCCCGUUGAAAUGGUAGCGGAUGAGGUGUGGGUAGCGGAGAAAUUCCAAUCGAACCCGGAGAUAGCUGGUUCUCUCCGAAAUAGCUUUAGGGCUAGCCUUGGAAUAGAUUACUGGAGGUAAAGCACUGAAUUGGCUAGGGGCCGAGAGGUUACUGAACCUUAUCAAACUAAGAAUGCCAGAUAAUCGUUUUCCAGGAGUCAGACAGUGGGAGAUAAGUUUCAUUGUCAAAAGGGAAACAGCCCAGACCUACAGCUAAGGUCCCAAAGUAUAGUUAAGUGGAAAAGGAUGUGGAAUUGCAUAGACAACCAGGAUGUUGGCUUAGAAGCAGCCACUCAUUAAAAGAGUGCGUAAUAGCUCACUGGUCGAGUGAUUCUGCGCCGAAAAUUUAACGGGGCUAAACUAUACACCGAAGCUUAGGAUACCGCAAGGUAUGGUAGGAGAGCGUUCUGUACGGAGUGAAGUCGUAGCGAAAGCGGCGGUGGACUGUACAGAAGUGAGAAUGCCGGAAUAAGUAGCGAGAAUUAAGUGAGAAUCUUAAUGGCCGAAAGUCUAAGGUUUUUGGAGGAAGGUUCGUCCGCUCCAAGUAAGUCGGGAGCUAAGGUCAGGCCGAAAGGCGUAGCCGAUGCACAAACGGUUGAUAUUCCGUUACCGUCUACAAUUUAAACAAGGGGACACAUACAAAGCGUUUAACCCGGGCGAUGGUUGACCCGGGCGCAAGGGACUGAAAUAAGAGUAGGGAAGUAAAUGUGGCGUAUGGCGAGAAAAGCCUUGUGUAUAGAAGUAGACGCCCGUACCGCAAACCGACACAGGUGGACAGGAAGAGAAUUCUAAGGCCAGCGGGAGAAGGGUAGUUAAGGAACUCGGCAAAUUGACUCCGUAACUUCGGAAUAAGGAGUGCUCGAAAGAGCCGCAGAGAAUAGGCCCAGGCGACUGUUUAGCAAAAACACAGGUCUCUGCCAAAUCGAAAGAUGAAGUAUAGGGGCUGACACCUGCCCGGUGCCGGAAGGUUAAGAGGAGGAGUGCAAGCUCCGAAUUGAAGCCCCGGUAAACGGCGGCCGUAACUAUAACGGUCCUAAGGUAGCGAAAUUCCUUGUCGGGUAAGUUCCGACCCGCACGAAUGGUGUAACGAUCUGGGCACUGUCUCAACUACCCACCCGGCGAAAUUGUAGUACCGGUGAAGAUGCCGGUUACCUGCGGCAAGACGGAAAGACCCCAUGGAGCUUUACUGUAGCCUGAUAUUGGGUUUCGGAAAUCUAUGUACAGGAUAGGCGGGAGACUGGGAAGUAUGAGCGUCAGCUUAUACGGAGUCGUUGUUGGGAUACCGCCCUUAGGUUUCUGGAAUUCUAACCUGCGACCGUGAAUCCGGUCGGGGGACAUUGUCAGGUGGGCAGUUUGACUGGGGCGGUCGCCUCCGAAAAGGUAACGGAGGCGCUCAAAGGUUGGCUCAGCACGGACGGAAACCGUGCCUCAGAGUGUAAACGCAAAAGCCAGCCUAACUGCGAGGAUGACGGUCCGAGCAGUAACGAAAGUUGGAGUUAG